Long non-coding RNA from Daphnia carinata, 386 nucleotides. RefSeq lists it as uncharacterized. The record is from RefSeq and is a predicted model, not a curated record. NCBI's taxonomy places the organism in Eukaryota, Metazoa, Arthropoda, Branchiopoda, Diplostraca, Daphniidae. The transcript has 3 exons.
UGGCAGAUUUGGUUGUUUUCAUUCCAGUGCGUUAAAGAAAAGGGAAGGGUGAGAAAGGAAACCCAAAAUGGCCGACCGUUAGCUAGACCCUCCCUUGACAACGUCAGCAUUUCGAAGAGUCAAUUCCAAGUUCCUUUGAUUCAGCUGGAAGCGUAUGGGUCCCAUCCGGAGUCAUUGGAACUAAAACAGUCUAAUAAAACCAAGGCGAGACUGCGAAAGUGAUUCAACUGUAUUAGGAAUCACAGCAACAAGAAUUGUGUCUGAAUUGGCCAUCAUUUAUUGAUAAAUGAAAAUGAUUUUUCAACUACCAUGGAGCCUGUGUCCCAAUCAACUUUAAAAAGCAGAUUUUUUUUUUCUUCCUAAGUUUCAGUAUUGAGUUUUGAUCG